UUGGAAAUGAACAUAAAUUAAGAUGUCAA
RNAcentral lists this non-coding RNA (29 nucleotides) under Mus musculus (house mouse). The record is from RNAcentral. Lineage: Eukaryota; Metazoa; Chordata; Mammalia; Rodentia; Muridae.